GAUGAACGCUGGCGGCGUGCUUAACACAUGCAAGUCGAACGUGAACCAGUAGCAAUAUUGGGGAAAGUGGCGGACGGGUGAGUAACACGUGGGUGACCUGCCUUGCAGCGGGGGAUAACGAGGGGAAACCUUCGCUAAUACCGCAUAGGCUUACACUGAUGGGAAUGGUGUGGGUAAAACUGAGGUGCUGCAAGAGGGGCCUGCGUCCGAUUAGCUAGUUGGUGAGGUAAAGGCUCACCAAGGCGAUGAUCGGUAGCUGGUCUGAGAGGACGAUCAGCCACACGGGAACUGAGAGACGGUCCCGACUCCUACGGGGGGCAGCAGUGAGGAAUAUUGGGCAAUGGGCUAACGCCUGACCCAGCAACGCCGCGUGGAGGAUGAAGGUUUUUGGAUUGUAAACUCCUUUUGUGGGGGAAGAGCGAGGACGGUACCCCAAGAAUAAGUCACGGCUAACUACGUG
RNAcentral lists this ribosomal RNA (460 nucleotides) under uncultured bacterium. RNAcentral's name for it is "bacterial SSU rRNA". It matches the Rfam family "Bacterial small subunit ribosomal RNA", at positions 28 to 507 of the family's 1533-position model. The record is from RNAcentral.